UUCAGUUGGCCAAAGCAGGAAUUGUUAUUCAGUUGAGGCAUCAUACUCUCGCAACAUUAUCAAAUUUGCUUACACAGAAAAGAGCAAGGAAAUGUAAAACAAUUUUUGCAAAUUAAAAAAUGAGUAACUUUUACGAAGGCAUCAUCUGUAAAAUAAGUUGACAAAUGUAUCACGUGGAUUAAAAAACAUGAGGUUGUAUGUGUAAUAUACGGUAUUGUAAUUUGAGUACCUGUACUUCAUGUUUUUUAAGCUUCGGCUUGAUCAACUAAAAAUAUUGUAUUACACCCUACAAUAAUUU
RNAcentral lists this long non-coding RNA (298 nucleotides) under Panax ginseng (ginseng). RNAcentral's name for it is "long non-coding RNA (PGIN_LNC006085)". Lineage: Eukaryota; Viridiplantae; Streptophyta; Magnoliopsida; Apiales; Araliaceae. The record is from RNAcentral.